CUGCUUUAUAUUAUAUAAAUAGAUACUUUUUUACUACUACAUAGAAGAGCCAAUCAAGGACGAUCAAAGGUAAAAAAGAAAUUUCAUACUAAUAAAAGUUACUUUUCCAUAUUCUUCAACCAUCCGGUUCUUUCUUUCGCCAACAACUCAACAUACGCAGCACUACUCUCAAACGAAAACUCAAAAACUCAUUCACUCUGUUUCUCCUGCUGCAUCCCCCACAGUCCUCCUCCUCCGCCGUCAUUCUCCGACGAAACUCCGAUAAGUGGCGUAGCAUUUUCAGUUUUCUUAACGGUAACGGUAACGGUAACGGGAAUAGACACAAACGGCAUUCUUCACCGGAGUUCCGUUAUGAUCCUUUGUGUUAUUCGUUGAAUUUUGAAGAUGAAGCGAACUUCACCAACUUCUCUUCUAGACUUUCUCUGUCGCCGGUGAUGGUGACGUAACCGGCGAAGUGAAGGUGAAGCAUUUGGGUAUUACAGCUGUUAAUGUUGUUAUCGCACACUUAUCUUGAUCUUAAGGUUUUGAAUCCAAAUGCUGAAUUACUCAACAAAUCGGCGGCGCUUCACAUGAAUAUCAAUGCUGCCAAGGGUUUACAGGAUGUUCUUAAGACUAAUUUCGGGCCUAAAGGCACUAUUAAAAUGCUUGUUGGUGGUGCUGGUGAUAUUAAAAUUACUCAGGAUGGAAAUACCUUGCUGACAGAGAUGGAUGUUAAUGAUGUGCUAGCUGGUAUAGAUCAUGUCAUAGAUAUGGGACUUGCAGAUCCAUCUAAAAUAAAUGUGCUCGGUGGUUCCCUUGGUGGAUUCCUGACAAGUCACUUGAUUGGCCAGGUACCAAGGACCUCCGUAUACCAAUGUGUACAGGCUUGCAAGAAUCAAAAUGUGUCAAUGCCAGGCAAAAACAGUGGUAUUGUCAGAUGCGUUGCAACACCCCCUACGGAGAAAACUUCUUACAAGACACAGGUCUCUCGCGAUGAGAACUUGGCUAAACUUCAAGCUGGUUAUCUGUUUCCUGAGAUCGGAAGAAGGAGAUCUGCACACAUGUUGAAACACCCCGAUGCUAAAAUUAUAAGCCUUGGAAUUGGUGACACUACUGAGCCCAUUCCUGAAUUUAUAACUUCUGCCAUGGCACAGAGAGCACAUGAACUUUCAACAUUAAAGGGUUACAGUGUUUAUGGUGCUGAGCAAGGAGAAAAAGCUUAUGUGGAUUCAAGUGUUAUUAUCUGCCAAACUGGUCAGUUUCAGAAGGAUGUGGAGAAGUAUGGAAAUAUUGCAUACAUGAGAUGUACUCCAGAAAACGAUUUCUUUCCUGAUUUAUCCAGUGUUCCACGGACAGACAUUAUAUUUUUCUGUUCGCCUAAUAAUCCAACUGGUGCGGCGGCAUCAAGGGAGCAGCUGACUAAAUUGGUGCAAUUUGCUAAAGACAAUGGCUCAAUCAUUGUUUAUGAUUCUGCAUAUGCUAUGUAUACAUGUGAUGACAGUCCAAAGUCCAUCUUUGAGAUUCCUGGAGCCAAAGAGAGUGGAGCAGAUGAGAAAAACAUGGAGAGACAGGACAAGAGUGGUAGAAAGAGAAAGAAAAACUGCUCUGCCAAAACCAAUGUGAGGAAGAGAAGUAUCAGCACGAGCAAAGGCAUGAGAUGGAGCAAAGAGAAGUUUUUGCAGAAAGAGUCUACGAAAGCAGAAAGAAUGAGACUUAAAGAAGAAAUGCACCGAGAUGAAAAGGUUGCUAGGUUUGAAACGGAUAACGUAAUGGAUUGCCUGAAGAAUAUUAGCGAAAGAAUCAAUAGGGGAUGCAGGAACAUGAAAAUGGAUUGGGAAAACAAUUUAGCAACGGGGACAUGUUAUUGUCAUAGAUUUGAUGAUCGAGUUCCUCUAUACAGGAUGCUGGAACAUGAAAAUGGAUCAGGAAAACAACUUGGUACAACAAUUGACAUGAAAUCCUUGGCAGAAUCACUGAGAUAUCACUUGAAGACAGACAUCGAAAUUUUGACCGUGAAUGGCGGAGGCGUUGUUUACUAUUGAAGCAGCAUGGUGACUGGAAAUUAUUUGUAUCAUACUAUAGAGGUGUUCAGCGAUGAAAAUCCAAAUGGUUCCAUUGUUCUGUGAACAAUUCUGGCGCCUGAUUAUAAAGAACCAUCUCUUAGCAUUCCUGGAACUCCAGGAAUAGUGCAGCAUGAGAUUUUGAACAACAGAAGACAUGUCCUGACUAAGGUAAGUUUUUUUUUCUCCUUUAUAGCCAUGUGGCGUAUUACUUUUUGUUGUUGAUGAGGGUAACUGUAUUUUAAAAAAUAUGAUUCUGGAUCCUCAUGAUGGAUUGUGUGUUUUAAAGGAUACUGCUGGUACAGUGAAAGUUGUGGGAGAUCACUAGAGGCACUGUGAUUCACAACUAUGGAGGGGUUAGAAUGUAAUGUUUCAAGUGGCUUGCUAAAUUACAGUGGCAUAUUUUUAACGAACGCUUUUAUUUAAUUUUCUUUGAAUUAUGACAGUUGUCACCUUCUGCCUCUAAGCUUCUUUUCGUCAUAUAUAUUGUUUUCCAAAUGUAGGUAUCAUUUGAUUUGAGAAGAAGAAAGAAGAACUUAUUGAGAUGGUAUAUAUUAUUGUAAAUUAAUCCAACUUUCACAUAUAAUUUUUCUCCUCAUAAGAUUUUCCUGAGGCUUGGAAGCUUGGCUGUACAUCUGGAUAUGCCACAAUGCUUUUCUGAUGAGAUGUACUCUGCGGACCUCAACAUUCCAGGGAAGCCUGAAGAUGACAAGGAAUCUUCCUCCACGGCAAGUUUGCAAAUUACUGUGAUUCCUAACCACUCAACAAAUCAUUCCUAAUGCUGUCACGUCUACUUCUGUUAUUAGAGCGUGUGGAGAAUUGGGUGAUUUUAAUUUGGGAAUGUGUGUGUAUUGGGUUUGGUUGUUAAGCUAGGACAAUAUUUGAUAGAAGGCAAGAGUAAAGAUGUCGUUUCUUGGAUAGCAUUCUAGAUAUGUAUGUUCAGCUGGGAGAGAUGCCAGAAAGAAAUGAAUUUUCCUGGAGUACAAUGAUCUCGAGGUACAGUCAGAGUGGUAAUGCAGAAGAGGCUGUGAAUCUCUUCAUUUGAAUGGUCCAACAGGGGUUUAAACCUAAUAAGUAGCGUAGUAAGUGCAUUGGCCAGCCUGGAAGCUUUGCUAAUCAGAGGUGGAGCUACAGUGUAAUACGGGAGUUCGGGCGAAUCCAGUAGCUUUUCCGUAGGUCGAAAAAUCAUAAAAUAUGUAUAGCUACAUAGCUGGGAACCCACAUCAAAAUGCAAGCAGAUAGCUCAAUGGUCGCGUGCAUGCAUCAAAAGGCCUACUUUCCCCAAGAUUGUGGGUUCUCGAAACCUUCUCAAUUUUUCCAUUUUCUCAGUAUAUAGAUAUUUUGUAUUUUGAUGAGAAAACAUAAACUUAUAUAAUUGAAAGAAGUAAAAAAGCAACGUCUU
Capsicum annuum is the source of this 3441-nucleotide RNA transcript. It is a transcript of the gene named probable LL-diaminopimelate aminotransferase, chloroplastic, with no coding region annotated. Lineage: Eukaryota; Viridiplantae; Streptophyta; Magnoliopsida; Solanales; Solanaceae. The transcript has 17 exons. The record is from RefSeq and is a predicted model, not a curated record.